RNAcentral lists this ribosomal RNA (440 nucleotides) under uncultured bacterium. RNAcentral's name for it is "partial 16S ribosomal RNA". It matches the Rfam family "Bacterial small subunit ribosomal RNA", at positions 338 to 795 of the family's 1533-position model. The record is from RNAcentral.
CCUACGGGGGGCAGCAGUGGGGAAUAUUGGACAAUGGGGGGAACCCUGAUCCAGCGACGCCGCGUGAGUGAAGAAGUAUUUCGGUAUGUAAAGCUCUAUCAGCAGGGAAGAAAAUGACGGUACCUGUCUAAGAAGCCCCGGCUAACUACGUGCCAGCAGCCGCGGUAAUACGUAGGGGGCAAGCGUUAUCCGGAUUUACUGGGUGUAAAGGGAGCGUAGACGGAGCAGCAAGUCUGAUGUGAAAGGUCGGGGCUCAACCCCGGGACGGCGUUGGAAACUGUUGAGUGGGAGUACAGGAGAGGCAAGGGGAAUUCCGAGUGUAGCGGGGAAAGGCGUAGAUAUUAGGAGGAACACCAGUGGCGAAGGCGGCUUACUGGACUUUAACUGACGUGGAGGCUCGAAAGCGUGGGGAGAAAACAGGAUUAGAGACCCGGGUAGUC